This 355-nucleotide small RNA is filed under the name Rossellomorea vietnamensis. RNAcentral describes it as "Bacillus vietnamensis cspA thermoregulator". It matches the Rfam family "cspA thermoregulator", at positions 82 to 428 of the family's 428-position model. The record is from Rfam by way of RNAcentral. Lineage: Bacteria; Bacillati; Bacillota; Bacilli; Caryophanales; Bacillaceae.
UAUUUUUGUUCGGAAUGGAAGGAUAGACAAAGUUUUUAAAGCUUUUCGCCUUGAAGUUACAUGAGCAAGAAUAGUAAUACAUUGUGUGGAGAACACACGAGGAGGUAACAUUAUGUUAGAAGGUACAGUUAAAUGGUUUAACGCAGAAAAAGGUUUCGGAUUCAUCGAGCGCGAAGGUGGAGACGACGUGUUCGUACACUUCUCAGCUAUUCAAGGCGAAGGAUUCAAAACUUUAGAAGAAGGUCAAAAAGUUUCUUUUGAAAUCGUUCAAGGAAACCGUGGCGACCAAGCAGCUAACGUUACUAAAGCAUAAUUUAUGCAUACUGAAAGACUCUACUCUGUAGAGUCUUUUUUC